RNAcentral lists this ribosomal RNA (900 nucleotides) under Holocryphia mzansi. RNAcentral's name for it is "LSU rRNA". It matches the Rfam family "Eukaryotic large subunit ribosomal RNA", at positions 38 to 966 of the family's 3401-position model. Lineage: Eukaryota; Fungi; Ascomycota; Sordariomycetes; Diaporthales; Cryphonectriaceae. The record is from RNAcentral.
GCAUAUCAAUAAGCGGAGGAAAAGAAACCAACAGGGAUUGCCCUAGUAACGGCGAGUGAAGCGGCAACAGCUCAAAUUUGAAAUCUGGCUUCGGCCCGAGUUGUAAUUUGCAGAGGAUGUUUCUGGCGCGGUGCCUUCCGAGUUCCCUGGAACGGGACGCCACAGAGGGUGAGAGCCCCGUAUGGUUGGACACCAAGCCUGUGUGAAACUCCUUCGACGAGUCGAGUAGUUUGGGAAUGCUGCUCAAAAUGGGAGGUAAAUCUCUUCUAAAGCUAAAUACCGGCCAGAGACCGAUAGCGCACAAGUAGAGUGAUCGAAAGAUGAAAAGCACCUUGAAAAGGGGGGUUAAACAGUACGUGAAAUUGUUGAAAGGGAAGCGCUUGUGACCAGACUUGUGCCGGGCGGUUCAUCCGGGGUUCUCCCCGGUGCACUCCGCCCGGUUCAGGCCAGCAUCGGUUUUCGUUGGGGGAUAAGAACGUCAGGAACGUGGCCCUCCUUCGGGUGGGUGUUAUAGCCUGGCGUACGAUACCCUGGCGGGGACCGAGGUUCGCGCUCCGCAAGGAUGCUGGCGUAAUGGUCAUCAGCGACCCGUCUUGAAACACGGACCAAGGAGUCGUCCAUUAGAGCGAGCGUUUGGGUGUCAAACCCGCACGCGUAAUGAAAGUGAAAUUAGGUGAGAGCUUCGGCGCAUCAUCGACCGAUCCUGAUGUUCUCGGAUGGAUUUGAGUAAGAGUUUUAACGGACGGACCCGAAAGACAGUGAACUAUGCUUGUAUAGGGUGAAGCCAGAGGAAACUCUGGUGGAGGCUCGCAGCGGUUCUGACGUGCAAAUCGAUCGUCAAAUAUGAGCAUGGGGGCGAAAGACUAAUCGAACUGUCUAGUAGCUGGUUACCGCCCGAAG